Pluteus cervinus is the source of this 96-nucleotide non-coding RNA. The record is from the annotation of a GenBank genome assembly. Lineage: Eukaryota; Fungi; Basidiomycota; Agaricomycetes; Agaricales; Pluteaceae.
GGGCUCUUGGCACAGGGGUAGCGCGCACGCUUCGCAUGAACAAGAAACUCAAUAAGUGACUGCGUGAGGUCGUGGGUUCAAAUCCCACAGUGUCCA